RNAcentral lists this ribosomal RNA (469 nucleotides) under uncultured bacterium. RNAcentral's name for it is "partial 16S ribosomal RNA". It matches the Rfam family "Bacterial small subunit ribosomal RNA", at positions 28 to 508 of the family's 1533-position model. The record is from RNAcentral.
GACGAACGCUGGCGGCGUGCUUAACACAUGCAAGUCGAACGGAAAGGCCCUGCUUUUGUGGGGUGCUCGAGUGGCGAACGGGUGAGUAACACGUGAGUAACCUGCCCUUGACUUUGGGAUAACUUCAGGAAACUGGGGCUAAUACCGGAUAGGAGCUCCUGCUGCAUGGUGGGGGUUGGAAAGUUUCGGCGGUUGGGGAUGGACUCGCGGCUUAUCAGCUUGUUGGUGGGGUAGUGGCUUACCAAGGCUUUGACGGGUAGCCGGCCUGAGAGGGUGACCGGCCACAUUGGGACUGAGAGACGGCCCAGACUCCUACGGGAGGCAGCAGUGGGGAAUAUUGCACAAUGGGCGGAAGCCUGAUGCAGCAACGCCGCGGGCGGGAUGACGGCCUUCGGGUUGUAAACCGCUUUCGCCUGUGACGAAGCGUGAGUGACGGUAAUGGGUAAAGAAGCACCGGCUAACUACGUGC